GCCCAGAUGGUGGAAUGGCAGACACGCCAGAUUUAGGUUCUGGUGCCUCGCGGCAUGUAGGUUCGAGUCCUAUUCUGGGCA
RNAcentral lists this transfer RNA (81 nucleotides) under Candidatus Rhabdochlamydia porcellionis. Its description in RNAcentral is "tRNA-Leu". It matches the Rfam family "tRNA". From Rfam's summary of the family: Transfer RNA (tRNA) molecules are approximately 80 nucleotides in length. Their secondary structure includes four short double-helical elements and three loops (D, anti-codon, and T loops). The record is from RNAcentral. RNAcentral also lists the same sequence under 1 other name. Lineage: Bacteria; Pseudomonadati; Chlamydiota; Chlamydiia; Parachlamydiales; Candidatus Rhabdochlamydiaceae.